GACGAACGCUGGCGGCGUGCUUAACACAUGCAAGUCGAACGGAAAGGCCCUGCUUUUGUGGGGUGCUCGAGUGGCGAACGGGUGAGUAACACGUGAGUAACCUGCCCUUGACUUUGGGAUAACUUCAGGAAACUGGGGCUAAUACCGGAUAGGAGCUCCUGCUGCAUGGUGGGGGUUGGAAAGUUUCGGCGGUUGGGGAUGGACUCGCGGCUUAUCAGCUUGUUGGUGGGGUAGUGGCUUACCAAGGCUUUGACGGGUAGCCGGCCUGAGAGGGUGACCGGCCACAUUGGGACUGAGAUACGGCCCAGACUCCUACGGGAGGCAGCAGUGGGGAAUAUUACACAAUGGGCGGAAGCCUGAUACAGCAACGCCGCGUGCGGGAUGACGGCCUUCGGGUUGUAAACCGCUUUCGCCUGUGACGAAGCGUGAGUGACGGUAAUGGGUAAAGAAGCACCGGCUAACUACGUG
This 468-nucleotide ribosomal RNA is filed under the name uncultured bacterium. Its description in RNAcentral is "partial 16S ribosomal RNA". It matches the Rfam family "Bacterial small subunit ribosomal RNA", at positions 28 to 507 of the family's 1533-position model. The record is from RNAcentral.